This 998-nucleotide ribosomal RNA is filed under the name Enterococcus faecium. Its description in RNAcentral is "partial 23S ribosomal RNA". It matches the Rfam family "Bacterial large subunit ribosomal RNA", at positions 154 to 1153 of the family's 2925-position model. Lineage: Bacteria; Bacillati; Bacillota; Bacilli; Lactobacillales; Enterococcaceae. The record is from RNAcentral.
UUGUGUGAAUACAUAGCACAUUCGAGGUAGACGCAGAGAACUGAAACAUCUAAGUACCUGCAGGAAGAGAAAGAAAAUUCGAUUCCCUGAGUAGCGGCGAGCGAAACGGGAAAAGCCCAAACCAGCAAGCUUGCUUGUUGGGGUUGUAGGACUCCAAUAUGGUAGUUCUUUCAGAUAGUCGAAUGACUUGGAAAAGUCAGUCAAAGAGGGUAAAAACCCCGUAGACGAAAUGUGGAAGACACCUAGGAGGAUCCUGAGUACGGCGGAACACGAGAAAUUCCGUCGGAAUCCGGGAGGACCAUCUCCCAAGGCUAAAUACUCCCUAGUGACCGAUAGUGAACCAGUACCGUGAGGGAAAGGUGAAAAGCACCCCGGAAGGGGAGUGAAAUAGAACCUGAAACCGUGUGCCUACAACAAGUCAAAGCCCGUUAAUGGGUGAUGGCGUGCCUUUUGUAGAAUGAACCGGCGAGUUACGAUUGCAUGCGAGGUUAAGUUGAAGAGACGGAGCCGCAGCGAAAGCGAGUCUGAAUAGGGCGUUUGAGUAUGUAGUCGUAGACCCGAAACCAUGUGAUCUACCCAUGUCCAGGUUGAAGGUGCGGUAAAACGCACUGGAGGACCGAACCCACGUACGUUGAAAAGUGCGGGGAUGAGGUGUGGGUAGCGGAGAAAUUCCAAACGAACUUGGAGAUAGCUGGUUCUCUCCGAAAUAGCUUUAGGGCUAGCCUCGGAAUUGAGAAUGAUGGAGGUAGAGCACUGUUUGGACUAGGGGCCCAUCUCGGGUUACCGAAUUCAGAUAAACUCCGAAUGCCAUUCAUUCAUAUCCGGGAGUCAGACUGUGAGUGAUAAGAUCCAUAGUCGAAAGGGAAACAGCCCAGACCACCAGCUAAGGUCCCAAAAUAUAUGUUAAGUGGAAAAGGAUGUGGGGUUGCACAGACAACUAGGAUGUUGGCUUAGAAGCAGCCACCAUUUAAAGAGUGCGUAAUAGCUCACUAGUCGAG